RNAcentral lists this transfer RNA (50 nucleotides) under Rattus norvegicus (Norway rat). Lineage: Eukaryota; Metazoa; Chordata; Mammalia; Rodentia; Muridae. The record is from Rfam by way of RNAcentral.
GGGGAUUUAGCUCAGUGGUAGAGCGCUUGCCUAGCAAGCGCAAGUCCCCA